This 657-nucleotide long non-coding RNA is filed under the name Ananas comosus (pineapple). Its description in RNAcentral is "long non-coding RNA (ACOM_LNC000938)". The record is from RNAcentral. Lineage: Eukaryota; Viridiplantae; Streptophyta; Magnoliopsida; Poales; Bromeliaceae.
GUGCCGGAGACAAUAUUUAUUUUGUUUAUAUGUCGAAAGGAAAAUGCUUUGAAAAAUUAUAGUUUCAAUCCGAUCCGAAUUUGAGGUUUUGAUAAAUUCUUGUUUUCUUAAAUUUUGCAAAAUUAAAACCAGUCGCUUGAAUUAAUUUGUGUAUCUAGUUAUUUAUAUGUUUAAUCCGACUAAUGUGGUGUAUGGUUGCUUACCCAGGUACUGAGACCGAUUCGCAGGGCGGGGCUGGGAGCGAGUGAACGUUAGAUGUAGCUAGAUUUGAUUCUAGCCUCUUCGUCUUAUUUCUAUUGCAUUUAGAUAUGAACUUUGAACUUCGUAGAUAAUCAUUCGUUUAUCUGUUCCUACUUUAUUGUUUCUUCGUACCUACAAUAUCUGUUAGAACAAUUUCGGUUUGUGUUGCAUCAUAANUUGUAUGCUUAAUCCGACUAAUGUGGUGUAUGGUUGCUUACCCAGGUACUGAGACCGAUUCGCAGGGCGGGGCUGGGAGCGAGUGAACGUUAGAUGUAGCUAGAUUUGAUUCUAGCCUCUUCGUCUUAUUUCUAUUGCAUUUAGAUAUGAACUUUGAACUUCGUAGAUAAUCAUUCGUUUAUCUGUUCCUACUUUAUUGUUUCUUCGUACCUACAAUAUCUGUUAGAACAAUUUCGGUUU